Molecule: long non-coding RNA, 92 nt
Organism: Sapajus apella (tufted capuchin)
Lineage: Eukaryota; Metazoa; Chordata; Mammalia; Primates; Cebidae
Exons: 3
Source: RefSeq, a predicted model, not a curated record
GGGAUCUAAAAAUAAAAAAAUUGAACUCUUGGAGACAGAGAAUAAAAGGAUGAUUACGAGAGGCUGGGAAGCAUAGUGGUGAGAGUAGGGGU